CGGGGGGAGCAAGCGUUGUUCGGAUUUACUGGGCGUAAAGGGCGCGUAGGCGGCCAGCACAAGUCAGUUGUGAAAUCUCCGGGCUUAACUCGGAACGGUCAACUGAUACUGUGCGGCUAGAGUGCAGAAGGGGCAACUGGAAUUCUCGGUGUAGCGGUGAAAUGCGUAGAUAUCGAGAGGAACACCUGCGGCGAAGGCGGGUUGCUGGGCUGACACUGACGCUGAUGCGCGAAAGCCAGGGGAGCGAACGGGAUUAGAUACCCCGGUAGUCCUGACCUUAAACGAUGGAUGCUUGGUGUCUGGAGUUUUAUAGUCUCCGGGUGCCGUAGCUAACGCGUUAAGCAUCCCGCCUGGGGAGUACGGUCGCAAGACUG
RNAcentral lists this ribosomal RNA (374 nucleotides) under uncultured organism. RNAcentral describes it as "bacterial SSU rRNA". It matches the Rfam family "Bacterial small subunit ribosomal RNA", at positions 526 to 896 of the family's 1533-position model. The record is from RNAcentral.